Molecule: long non-coding RNA, 1238 nt
Organism: Lethenteron reissneri (Far Eastern brook lamprey)
Lineage: Eukaryota; Metazoa; Chordata; Hyperoartia; Petromyzontiformes; Petromyzontidae
Source: RefSeq, a predicted model, not a curated record
UGAAGACGACCUCGCCUGAACCAAAGAGUAUGGAUUCCUGCAGUCACGAAAGCUUCAAAUCAAGAUUGAACCACCUCUACGGGGAGGGUUUUCACACAUCUGUUACAGCUUUUAACAGACUACGAGACAAGAAGGCUCACAUGAUCGAGUCUCUCACCUAUCUGAAGAGAUGCUGCGACAGCAAGCCGACCUCUCCAGUGCUGCCGCGGUGGUCCACUUUACUCCAGUGACCCGGGUGCUGCUGCGGGGUCCACUUUCUGCCCCGCCUCCCCCCCCCCCCUUCUCUCUCCCCCCCUACUGCCGAGGCCUAUAUAACCUCCUGCCACGGCAGAUCUUUCGCCUACUUCAGCAGUUUUUUUCUUGCUGUGGUUGUCCCACCUGAUGACGAUUGCUUGUGUUGGGAUCGAAACGUCGUGAUAUAUUAUUUUUCUACCUACGUGAUUUUACUGAAAGAACCAAAGAGUUUGGCUUUUUUUUUACGUUUUCUGGUUUGGCAGAAAUGUAAUUCCUAUGUUCCAUUAACAGUUAUGUCGGUUAACAGUAGUUUUCGUGGAAUGGAUUAAAAACGUUAAUCGAGGAACAACUGUAUUUGUUAUACUUAAAGCAAGGUUGAUUGAUUGUUGACUUAUUGGCGAAUUCUAAUUUCAUACACAAUAAAAUUUGAAACUAAAGUAGUCAUUAAAUACAUAUAUUCGUUGUAAAUAUGUACAUUGAACUUACUCUGCGCACUAUACGUAGCCGAUCGUGCUAUUCGGAGGUGCGUUGUGGCUAUUUUGGCAUGGGUUUCGGGCAAUACAACACUUGUGACCUCGGUUCCAUCUGCAGAGAGAUUGAGCACUGUGGUGUGUGGUGGGUUGAUAUGGUGGUGUCUGUUCAUUAUCGAAGUUACAGGAUGUUUUAUUUUAAGCGUUGUGUAAUUUAUAGUUUUUCGAUGCUUUAAGUAAAAAAAACUGCAUUGGGAACCUCAUGGCCGCAUUUAUUGAAUUUAAUUUGCGAGUGUUAACACCUUGUCGUUUUGGUAAACUGGAUGAAAAUCAAUAAAUUUUAAAUGGAAGGUGAUUAAAACUUUUAAAAGGUAAAAAUAAGCCAUAUUUAGAUUAGUUGGUUCAAUUUAAUGUUUUUCUAUUUGGUAGUGCUAUUAAAUUAUAGUGCACAACAUCACCACCCUGUAGCCUCUGAUUUAGCUUUGAGCUCGAUGUGUUUUCGUGUGAGCAGAGAUUUCCAAGUGUUUGGCGUGA